This 459-nucleotide ribosomal RNA is filed under the name uncultured bacterium. Its description in RNAcentral is "partial 16S ribosomal RNA". It matches the Rfam family "Bacterial small subunit ribosomal RNA", at positions 338 to 795 of the family's 1533-position model. The record is from RNAcentral.
CCUACGGGUGGCAGCAGUGAGGAAUAUUGGUCAAUGGCCGGAAGGCUGAACCAGCCAUGCCGCGUGAAGGUCAGUGCCCUAUGGGCGUUAAACUUCUUUUGUGCGGGAGCAAUAAUGGUCACGUGUGGCCAGACGAGAGUACCGUACGAAUAAGCAUCGGCUAACUCCGUGCCAGCAGCCGCGGUAAUACGGGGGAUGCAAGCGUUAUCCGGAUUUAUUGGGUGUAAAGGGAGCGUAGACGGCCAUGCAAGUCAGGGGUGAAAGCCCGGGGCCCAACCCCGGGACUGCCCUUGGAACUGCAUGGCUAGAGUGCGGGAGGGGCAGGCGGAAUGCCUGGUGUAGCGGUGAAAUGCGUAGAGAUCAGGAGGAACACCGGCGGCGAAGGCGGCCUGCUGGACCGCGACUGACGUUGAGGCUCGAAAGCGUGGGGAGCGAACAGGAUUAGAUACCCGAGUAGUC